AAGUCGUAACAAGGUUUCCGUAGGUGAACCUGCGGAAGGAUCAUCAUUAAUGGAUAUAAUCCACAAGGUAUAAUGAGGAUUGAAUACUAAAAUUUGGGUACAAGUGACCCAAAUCUAUAUAUAAACUAUGAUAUUUGAAUAAAUCAGAUUAGAAAAAAAAAAUACAACUUUCAACAAUGGAUCUCUUGGCUCUC
This 194-nucleotide unclassified non-coding RNA is filed under the name fungal sp. RNAcentral's name for it is "partial internal transcribed spacer region". The stretch from base 1 to 46 matches the Rfam family "Eukaryotic small subunit ribosomal RNA", at positions 1786 to 1831 of the family's 1831-position model. The record is from RNAcentral. Lineage: Eukaryota; Fungi.